RNAcentral lists this long non-coding RNA (249 nucleotides) under Mustela putorius furo (domestic ferret). RNAcentral's name for it is "lncRNA (ENSMPUG00000030932.1)". The record is from RNAcentral. Lineage: Eukaryota; Metazoa; Chordata; Mammalia; Carnivora; Mustelidae.
CGCAUUCAGAGGUCUCCUUCAACUCCCAGCUGUGGUCCACAGUCAAUAAAAGACUCUUUAGGGCUGAAGAGAUAAAAGAAGGCAGUGUCCAUGCCUCUUUCUGGAAGAGGCAGAAGAAGAGGAUUUCCUCCUACCCCGCCCCAGGAACCCACAGAGAAGACUCUAGAUAAGAGUUAAGAAGAGGAAAAGACAGAGCAUAAAACUUCUCCACUUUGUUAAUCAAAGAUGGGUGAGGACCUUACAGAGGGA